Molecule: non-coding RNA, 220 nt
Organism: Pelobates cultripes (western spadefoot toad)
Lineage: Eukaryota; Metazoa; Chordata; Amphibia; Anura; Pelobatidae
Source: the annotation of a GenBank genome assembly
CUUCAGUUCUGGCAUUAGAUCCUGCAGAUACCCAUCAGAAUGUGUUUUAAAGUCAUGUUUUAUUGUUAAAAUGUUCAACUAUGUGUGACUAAUUCAUAGUCGAUGUAUGCACAGGUACUAAGCAACCAACCCCUUCCUUUAUCAUGCAUCGUUAAUGGCCACCAUUGUACUAUUAAAGGCUGGCAGUAGGUCAUAGCAAAUGUAUUAUUCAAAAGUCUAG